Molecule: ribosomal RNA, 778 nt
Filed under: Drymusa armasi
Lineage: Eukaryota; Metazoa; Arthropoda; Arachnida; Araneae; Drymusidae
Description: partial large subunit ribosomal RNA
Rfam family: Eukaryotic large subunit ribosomal RNA (bases 361-778)
Source: RNAcentral
CAGUCGGCGACGUGCGGAGGCGAUCUCGCGGACGGACCUUUAACGGGCCGGACGUCGUGGACGCCAGUCUCCGUCGGAGCCGACGCACUUUCCCCCGCGCGUCGGACGCCGCGACCGGUCGAGUUGCAGCGAGAGUCGGCCACGAGGUCGGGCGCAGGCAGGUGGUCGGAGAGGAGAUUUUCCAAAUUUUUUGGAUUUUUUUCCCUUUCCGGCUGUUAGCCAGCCCGUCCGAGGCGCGACACUCGACCGAGGUCGAUGCUCCCGAGUCCCCGGGAGCGAGCCGUCCCCCUUUCUCUAGCGAGUCCUCCGACAGGCCGGCUUCGCGUCCGCCGAUCCCACUCUUGGUAGUGGCCGGCGCACGGAGUUCCGAGCCGUUGGUACGACAGACGUCUCGCGGGGGGUCAAAAAAUAAACGAGGCUCAACCCUCUAUUAUCAGAGGUCUGCGGCGAGUAGGUCGGUCACCCACCCGUCCCGUCUUGAAACACGGACCAAGGAGUCUAACACGUGCGCGAGUCACGGGGUCUUGAACAGGCCCAGAGGCGCAAUGAAAGUGAGAAAAGGCGAUCUCUCCCACCUGUUCCCCUAUUGCUGGGGUGGGUGGGGAGGUUCCAUGGUCGGGACUCCUCCGCUUGACAGACGGAGGAGGCACCGACGGCCCGUCGCUUCCGACACGUCGGUGCGGCGGAGUCCGAGCGUACGCGUUGGGACCCGAAAGAUGGUGAGCUAUGCCUGGGCAGGACGAAGCCAGAGGAAACUCUGGUGGAGGUCCGCAGCGGU